This 492-nucleotide ribosomal RNA is filed under the name uncultured bacterium. RNAcentral's name for it is "partial 16S ribosomal RNA". It matches the Rfam family "Bacterial small subunit ribosomal RNA", at positions 30 to 507 of the family's 1533-position model. The record is from RNAcentral.
AUUGAACGCUGGCGGUAGGCCUAACACAUGCAAGUCGAACGGCAGCACAGUAAUAGCUCGCUCUUACGGGUGGCGACUGGCGGGCGGGUGAGGAAUACAUCGGAAUCUACUUUUGCUUGGGUCAUAACGUAGGGAAACUUACGCUAAUACCGGAUACGGCCUACGGGUGAAAUCAUCGGAUCUCCCGACCUUGCCCGAUUGUAUGAGCCGAUGUCGGAUUAGCUAGUUGGCGGGGUAAAGGCCCACCAAGGCGACGAUCCGUAGCUGGUCUGAGAGGAUGAUCAGCCACACUGGAACUGAGACACGGUCCAGACUCCUACGGGAGGCAGCAGUGGGGAAUAUUGGACAAUGGGCGCAAGCCUGAUCCAGCCAUACCGCGUGGGUGAAGAAGGUCUUCGGGUUGUAAAGCCCUUUUGUUGGGAAAGAAAAGCAGCAGGUUAAUACCCCGCUGUUUUGACGGUACCCAAAGAAUAAGCACCGGCUAACUUCGUG